This 269-nucleotide long non-coding RNA is filed under the name Salvia miltiorrhiza (redroot sage). RNAcentral describes it as "long non-coding RNA (SMIL_LNC011282)". Lineage: Eukaryota; Viridiplantae; Streptophyta; Magnoliopsida; Lamiales; Lamiaceae. The record is from RNAcentral.
UUUCGUUUGCCAGUUUUUUUUUCUCAGCUCCCUAUCAGCAGAUCAAAUCUGGUCGAGGUAUUUGGAUAAGAUCAUAUACAAAAGUGAAACAAAAUGAGUUUCCACCAUUUCUACAAAGUCCUCAGUUCUCCAUUCUGUUUCUCCUCAAUUCACCUAAAAGUGAGUCAGUAUAAAUGUCCUUCGCCAUCUACAAUGCGAUCUCACCAGCCAGAUCGAGAUGCGUCACUACAUAAUUUGCCUCAAUCAAGAGUACGACUCUGACGACCCCA